CAUAGCGACUAUCGUGGCAUAUCAAUAAGCGGAGGAAAAGAAACUAACAAGGAUUCCCUUAGUAACGGCGAGUGAAGCGGGAAGAGCUCAAAUUUGAAAUCUUCAAGGUUCUACCUUGACGAAUUGUAGUUUAUAAAGUGUUUUCUGUUAGUAGAGUGGCAAAAGUUCUUUGGAAUAGGACAUCAUAGAGGGUGAGAAUCCCGUAUUUGGUCAUUCUUUCUAGCUUUGUGAUACACUUUCAACGAGUCGGAUUGUUUGGGAAUGCAGUCCAAAAUGGGUGGUAAAUUUCAUCUAAAGCUAAAUAUUGGCGAGAGACCGAUAGCGAACAAGUACCGUGAGGGAAAGAUGAAAGGAACUUUGAAAAGAGAGUUAAACAGUACGUGAAAUUGUCAAAAGGGAAGCGUUUGACACCAGUGUUGUUUUUCCGAAAAUCAAUUACGAAUGUUUUAGUUUUUGAGAAGUUAUGACUUCAUCGGCUUGCUUCUCUCUUUAUGAAACUUUCUUAAUGCACUUUUCGGUUAACGAGUCAACAUCAAUUUCUUUUGUUGUAAAAGGGUAUGAGGAAGGUGGCUUUCUUUUCGGAGAAGUGUUUAUAGCCUUGUAGCCUCUGCAAUCGGAGAGAUUGAGGUCUGCAGCGUAGAUCCUUCGGGGUUAGAUACAUUUGUGCUAAGUUAUAGCUUUUCAUAGACAACUUGUUGACUAUGUUUAGUCUUGUAGCUUACUCGCUUAUGCUAUUUUACCUACGCUUAGGAUGUUGAUAUGCAUGACUGAUAU
RNAcentral lists this ribosomal RNA (774 nucleotides) under uncultured Neocallimastigales. RNAcentral describes it as "partial large subunit ribosomal RNA". It matches the Rfam family "Eukaryotic large subunit ribosomal RNA", at positions 22 to 643 of the family's 3401-position model. Lineage: Eukaryota; Fungi; Neocallimastigomycota; Neocallimastigomycetes; Neocallimastigales. The record is from RNAcentral.